AGUUUGAUCCUGGCUCAGGACGAACGCUGGCGGCGCGCCUAACACAUGCAAGUCGAACGGAGCUUAGAGAGCUUGCUUUUUAAGCUUAGUGGCGAACGGGUGAGUAACGCGUGAGUAACCUGCCCUAGAGUGGGGGACAACAGUUGGAAACGACUGCUAAUACCGCAUAAGCCCACGGUACCGCAUGGUACUGAGGGAAAAGGAUUUAUUCGCUUUAGGAUGGACUCGCGUCCAAUUAGCUAGUUGGUGAGGUAACGGCCCACCAAGGCGACGAUUGGUAGCCGGACUGAGAGGUUGAACGGCCACAUUGGGACUGAGACACGGCCCAGACUCCUACGGGAGGCAGCAGUGGGGGAUAUUGCACAAUGGGGGAAACCCUGAUGCAGCAACGCCGCGUGAAGGAAGACGGUUUUCGGAUUGUAAACUUCUGUUCUUAGUGAAGAUAGUGACGGUAGCUAAGGAGCAAGCCACGGCUAACUACGUGCCAGCCGCCGCGGUAAUAC
RNAcentral lists this ribosomal RNA (503 nucleotides) under uncultured bacterium. RNAcentral describes it as "bacterial SSU rRNA". It matches the Rfam family "Bacterial small subunit ribosomal RNA", at positions 10 to 526 of the family's 1533-position model. The record is from RNAcentral.